UGGGCUUGGGCAGUGAGGACUGGGGGUCCAGCCCAUCUCCCACUCCUUACCCCUGGCCGUC
Molecule: microRNA precursor, 61 nt
Filed under: Bos taurus (domestic cattle)
Lineage: Eukaryota; Metazoa; Chordata; Mammalia; Artiodactyla; Bovidae
Description: Bta-Mir-2330_pre stem-loop
Source: RNAcentral